Long non-coding RNA from Drosophila miranda, 364 nucleotides. RefSeq lists it as uncharacterized. The record is from RefSeq and is a predicted model, not a curated record. The transcript is spliced from 2 exons. Lineage: Eukaryota; Metazoa; Arthropoda; Insecta; Diptera; Drosophilidae.
CACAAUCAUUACACCUGAAAACCAUUAAACGGAACGGAACUUCAACGCCCCAAUCAAAAAGAUGUUUGCAUACAUUUGGCAAAAUGCAUAAUGAUAUCAUUUGGGAUCUUCUUUGGGCAACAGAACUGGGCUGGAGUUCAAACACAAGGAGAGCAUUAAAAUGGCUUUCACAGAUAAAACUGCUCUACAAACGUCGCGACCAAACAAAAGAUAUGAUAACAGUUGGCGGUGGGUCUUACAGUUAGUCAAAUGAUAUGCAUAUCUGAUAAGUGUGGUGCCGCCUGAGCAGCAGAAAAGAAGAAAGUUAUUAAGGUAGCUGAGGUGUAACCCAAUUUCCGGCCCAUUGCCCAAUGAUCCAUGGAAA